CUUCCCUCUUCAGAUUCCCCAAUUUAUGCGUUCUCCUCUUCUCCUUCCAUCCCUCCCUGCCAACGUUUCAAUCUCCCGAUCUCCCCAUCACCACAAACACACAUGGAACGGAUGGCGGCAUGCAUCCAUCUUCAUCACCCAUCCAGGGAUUUUAUUGCCCAUCUCCUUCUAGUGAUGGGAAGAAGGGCGGCUGCAUCUUCUUCUUCCCUAGCGCCGGCUACCUCAGCAAACACCACGGAUGGCAUCUCCACCACUUCCCCGACGGUGAGGCACCUGCCGUGGAGGUGGACUUGCAGGCGCUCCUCCACGCCAACGACGGUGAUCUAUCCCGCUCCCACCUCAACCACGCGGGGCGUCAUCGGCAUCCGGCCGUAAGGCGAAGACGACCCGUCGCCGUUCGUAAGAAAAAGGCCAUGUUGAGAACCACAUGGUGACCGCUCGAGGCAUUCAACUCUCAGCAGCACCCUUAUACCACUCCAACUGGUAUCGUUUCAACGGGUUCCUGUUCUUCUAAAUCAAAGAUAAUAAGGCCAACCAGACAUAAGAAAGUUUCUACAAGGAGAUGUGUGCGAUAUGGAUGGCUAGGUGGUCGUAAGGAUGGUCUUGGUAAACAAUUGUCUGAUGAUCUUGAGUUAAGUCGAUCUCUGAAUCCUAUUUGCUUGAAAUAUCUGAAUUUGCAUGUUAUUGUCUCUGAACAAUUAAUCUGUCGCCCGCCUUAUCAGCACUAGUGCAGAACCGGGCAAUAGCACCGGUUCGUAAGACCCUUUAGUGCCGGUUCCAUAACCGGCACUAAAGUGUGGGCACUAAAGCCCCCCCCCCCUUUAGUACCGGUUCAGCACGAACCGGUGCUAAAGGGCAACCAUGUGGCACGAGCCAGCUCCGGAGGCCUGGAGCCCUUUAGUAUCGGUUGGUAAGACCAACC
Molecule: RNA transcript, 922 nt
Organism: Triticum aestivum (bread wheat)
Lineage: Eukaryota; Viridiplantae; Streptophyta; Magnoliopsida; Poales; Poaceae
Exons: 3
Source: RefSeq, a predicted model, not a curated record